Molecule: ribosomal RNA, 898 nt
Filed under: uncultured bacterium
Lineage: Bacteria
Description: bacterial SSU rRNA
Rfam family: Bacterial small subunit ribosomal RNA
Source: RNAcentral
AGAGUUUGAUCAUGGCUCAGAACAAACGCUGGCGGCGUGGCUAAGACAUGCAAGUCGAACGGACCAUUAAUUUAUUAAUGGUUAAUGGCGAAAGGGUUAGUAAUGGACAGGUAACGUACCCUGUGCUCCGGAAUAGCGUCGUUCGCCUUCGGGCGAGCUUCCGAAAGGGGCGGUAAUACCGGAUAAUAUCAUUUGUCGAUGGACGGAUGUUCAAAGAUUUAUCGGCACAGGAGCGGCCUAUCUCCUAUCAGCUUGUUGGUGAGGUAACGGCUCACCAAGGCAGUGACGGGUAGCGGGACUGAGAGGUUGACCCGCAACAUCGGGACUGAGACACUGCCCGGACCUCCACGGAGGGCUGCAGUAACGAAUCUUGCGCAAUGGGCGAAAGCCUGACGCAGCGACGCCGCGUGUAGGAAGAAGUCUUUCGGGAUGUAAACUACUGUCAGGGGGAAGAAAGUCCGCUUCGGCGGAUUGAUCUAACCCAAAGGAAGUCACGGCUAACUUCGUGCCAGCAGCCGCGGUAAGACGAAGGUGGCAAGCGUUGUUCGGUGUUACUGGGCUUAAAGCGUGUGUAGGCGGAAAGGUAAGCGUCCUGUGAAAGCCCCCGGCUUAACCGGGGAAUUGCUCGACGAACUGCCUUUCUUGAGGCAAGUAGGGGUGCAUGGAACUCUUGGUGGAGCGGUGGAAUGCGUAGAUAUCAAGAGGAACGCCGGCGGUGAAAACGGUGCACUGGGCUUGUACUGACGCUGAGACACGAAAGCGUGGGUAGCGAACGGGAUUAGAUACCCCGGUAGUCCACGCCGUAAACGAUGUCUACUANGUUGUGGAAGUUCUGACGCUGCCACAGCCGAAGCAAAAGUGAUAAGUAGACCGCCUGGGGAGUACGGUCGCAAGGCUA